UUACCCUAACUGUCUAAAUUAUAAAUAAUAAUUAAAAUAAAAUAUAAAUAAUAAUUAUAAAUUAUAAAUGAUUAUAAAAUGUCCCUAACUAUUUUGGCAUUAGUUUUUUGACAGUUUCAACAACAAUAUCUUAAAUUGCAAAGUUUAUUAGACAAAAAAAGCCUUUUGUAUUGUUUCGAUAAAACUCACCAUUUUUAAGGCCGCCCCCGAGAACUGUCAAAAUCAAACUGUCAAAUCAAAAAAAUAUGUUUUUACCCUUUUUUACUUUUAUACAUAUCUCAAAAUCGACAACAACGACAACGGGAAACCAUUGUUGCGCCUCCAAGUGGCAAAUACAUUUUGAAAGCGAUCUGUGCAGAAUGUCCAGAAUGUGUCACUCGUUUUUCUCAAAAACCUUUAGUUCCGGAGUGGCGGAGAUCCCCUAUUCAGACAUCCAACAUGCGCUACCCUGUACAGUGUACAAAAAAUCGUUGAGCUUAAAUAAUUAUAAUUACCUAAUUCCAAAAAUAAAGAAACUAUUAAUA
Molecule: long non-coding RNA, 524 nt
Organism: Tribolium castaneum (red flour beetle)
Lineage: Eukaryota; Metazoa; Arthropoda; Insecta; Coleoptera; Tenebrionidae
Exons: 2
Source: RefSeq, a predicted model, not a curated record